RNAcentral lists this ribosomal RNA (427 nucleotides) under uncultured bacterium. RNAcentral describes it as "bacterial SSU rRNA". It matches the Rfam family "Bacterial small subunit ribosomal RNA", at positions 355 to 774 of the family's 1533-position model. The record is from RNAcentral.
UGGGGAAUUUUGGACAAUGGGCGAAAGCCUGAUCCAGCAAUGCCGCGUGCAGGAUGAAGGCCCUCGGGUUGUAAACUGCUUUUGUACGGAACGAAAAGCCUGGGGCUAAUAUCCCCGGGUCAUGACGGUACCGUAAGAAUAAGCACCGGCUAACUACGUGCCAGCAGCCGCGGUAAUACGUAGGGUGCAAGCGUUAAUCGGAAUUACUGGGCGUAAAGCGUGCGCAGGCGGUUAUGUGAGACAGAUGUGAAAUCCCCUGGCUCAACCUGGGAACUGCAGUUGUGACUGCAUAGCUGGAGUGCGGCAGAGGAGGAUGGAAUUCCGCGUGUAGCAGUGAAAUGCGUAGAUAUGCGGAGGAACACCGAUAGCGAAGGCAAUCCCCUGGGCCUGCACUGACGCUCAUGCACGAGAGCGUGGGGAGCAAACA